UGAGUAACCUGCCCUUCACUCUGGGAUAACUCCGGGGAAACCGGGGCUAAUACUGGAUAUGACUCGAACAGGCGUCUGUUUCGGGUGGAAAGAUUUUAUUGGUGGAGGAUGGACUCGCGGCCUAUCAGCUUGUUGGUGAGGUAAUGGCUCACCAAGGCGACGACGGGUAGCCGGCCUGAGAGGGCGAUCGGCCACACUGGGACUGAGACACCGGCCCAGACCUCCGUACGGGGAGCA
This 237-nucleotide ribosomal RNA is filed under the name uncultured bacterium. RNAcentral describes it as "partial 16S ribosomal RNA". It matches the Rfam family "Bacterial small subunit ribosomal RNA", at positions 118 to 350 of the family's 1533-position model. The record is from RNAcentral.